UCCUCUGAUUCCCCCUGCCUGAAGCUUUAAAAAAAAUCACAGCAAAAUAUUUCAGUCAGGGUUUCCUUGUUUCACAGAGGUCAGUGUGAGGUGAGAGGGGGCAAAAUGCAAACAGCACAUAAGCAGUCCUGGGAGUGUCCUGCAAUCCUUCCAACCGCUUAGACGACACACCAGAGCAGAAUGCAAGCAGGUUAGUCCUGCAUUCUUUAUGACCUUUUCAUCUGAGAACAUACUCAGAAGAGGCUCCAUUGUCUCCCUGCUCUUGGUAGGCUCUACCAACACUACCUACAUGCUGCACUGUCAGUAAGUCUUUUGAGUAGCAAUAGCCUUCUUCUUUGUGGAGAUAAACAAAUGUCAACUCUGCAGUGUCCAAGGGUGGAGUAGGAAAAGCCUAACUCAAGGGAAAAUAACCCAAAAGAAACUCAGUUUGGAAAUCGAAGGAAAUAAAACCUAAAACCUGCCCACCUGUGACUAUGACAUUCACAAGCUCUGUAUUCUUGAGAAAAUCUGUGCUGAAAUGGAUAUUUCAGAAGGGAAAGGCCCUUGCACAGAUGUUGAAUGCCAUCGGUUAUUGGAUUACUUGCAGCUGAUGUUGUGCCCUGCUCUAUGGGCAUGAGCUGGCAGACGCUGUCAUCAGGCACAAGCUAGAAGCCCAGGUGAGCAGCAAAAAAAGAAAGAGAUCCCUCAAACUGAGAACAAGCAAGUGUCAGCUCCAGUGUUGCUAAUAAAAUAGACUGUCCACCUCCAGAUUAUGAACAAUCACCCUAUUUUCCUUCUCCACUGCGGGGGCAUGCGGGGAGUCCAGGUACUGGAGGGUAUUUCAUGAGCACGGGGCUGGCACACACCACCAUGGAAAAACAUGUUCAGUGCUGCUGCUGUGUCCGUGACUCGAUGUGCAUC
Long non-coding RNA from Cuculus canorus (common cuckoo), 900 nucleotides. RefSeq lists it as uncharacterized. The record is from RefSeq and is a predicted model, not a curated record. The transcript has 4 exons. Lineage: Eukaryota; Metazoa; Chordata; Aves; Cuculiformes; Cuculidae.